AUUGAACGCUGGCGGCAUGCCUUACACAUGCAAGUCGAACGGUAACAGGUCUUCGGAUGCUGACGAGUGGCGAACGGGUGAGUAAUACAUCGGAACGUGCCCGAGAGUGGGGGAUAACGAAGCGAAAGCUUUGCUAAUACCGCAUACGAUCUCAGGAUGAAAGCAGGGGACCGCAAGGCCUUGCGCUCACGGAGCGGCCGAUGGCAGAUUAGGUAGUUGGUGGGAUAAAAGCUUACCAAGCCGACGAUCUGUAGCUGGUCUGAGAGGACGACCAGCCACACUGGGACUGAGACACGGCCCAGACUCCUACGGGAGGCAGCAGUGGGGAAUUUUGGACAAUGGGCGCAAGCCUGAUCCAGCCAUGCCGCGUGCAGGAUGAAGGCCUUCGGGUUGUAAACUGCUUUUGUACGGAACGAAAAGACUCUGGUUAAUACCUGGGGUCCAUGACGGUACCGUAAGAAUAAGCACCGGCUAACUACGUGCCAGCAGCCGCGGUAAUACGUAGGGUGCGAGCGUUAAUCGGAAUUACUGGGCGUAAAGCGUGCGCAGGCGGUUAUGUAAGACAGAUGUGAAAUCCCCGGGCUCAACCUGGGAACUGCAUUUGUGACUGCAUAGCUAGAGUACGGCAGAGGGGGAUGGAAUUCCGCGUGUAGCAGUGAAAUGCGUAGAUAUGCGGAGGAACACCGAUGGCGAAGGCAAUCACCUGGGCCUGUACUGACGCUCAUGCAC
RNAcentral lists this ribosomal RNA (729 nucleotides) under uncultured beta proteobacterium. RNAcentral's name for it is "bacterial SSU rRNA". It matches the Rfam family "Bacterial small subunit ribosomal RNA", at positions 28 to 754 of the family's 1533-position model. The record is from RNAcentral. Lineage: Bacteria; Pseudomonadati; Pseudomonadota; Betaproteobacteria.